RNAcentral lists this ribosomal RNA (495 nucleotides) under uncultured bacterium. Its description in RNAcentral is "partial 16S ribosomal RNA". It matches the Rfam family "Bacterial small subunit ribosomal RNA", at positions 29 to 506 of the family's 1533-position model. The record is from RNAcentral.
AUGAACGCUGGCGGCGUGCCUAAUACAUGCAAGUCGAGCGAACGGACGAGAAGCUUGCUUCUCUGAUGUUAGCGGCGGACGGGUGAGUAACACGUGGAUAACCUACCUAUAAGACUGGGAUAACUUCGGGAAACCGGAGCUAAUACCGGAUAAUAUUUUGAACCGCAUGGUUCAAAAGUGAAAGACGGUCUUGCUGUCACUUAUAGAUGGAUCCGCGCUGCAUUAGCUAGUUGGUAAGGUAACGGCUUACCAAGGCAACGAUGCAUAGCCGACCUGAGAGGGUGAUCGGCCACACUGGAACUGAGACACGGUCCAGACUCCUACGGGAGGCAGCGGUAGGGAAUCUUCCGCAAUGGGCGAAAGCCUGACGGAGCAACGCCGCGUGAGUGAUGAAGGUCUUCGGAUCGUAAAACUCUGUUAUUAGGGAAGAACAUAUGUGUAAGUAACUGUGCACAUCUUGACGGUACCUAAUCAGAAAGCCACGGCUAACUACGU